UAUCGUUAACAUCUCGGAUAAAUAGUUUAUUUGUAGCAGCGAAACUUAAUUCAGCUGCAGACAAUGACAGUUUUGAUGUUUGAAACACUUUCAGUUCUUCAUUUACAGCCACAGAGUCGGCUGAGCACUGAAAGUCUCUCAGGAGAUUGCCAAUCAUCUAGCCAAUUGCUGCUAGAACUGCCACCACUGGUGUUAGCUUGUUAAUACAUUGAUUGACAAUAGUUUCACCUUCAAUCCUGGGCGUGUUCUCUCUCUUGGUCUGUAUUCAAGCAAGCUGUGUCACGUUUGUUAGUCUUAUUGUAUUAUCGCUGUCCUCCUCACCUGACGCGCUAGGGGUCGCUGUAGUGCCCACGUCAUGUCUGGACUGCAAUUCCUCUGAGUUCGGAUGGUGUCACUGUCUCGGGAGACUGCCCAAGUGUGGGCUGAAAUAAUUCGGAAUUUCGGACGGGACCGGCGACGGUGCGGUGGAGGGGGCGGGGUCGGGUGAUUCCCAGGCUGGAGCUUCAAAGUGGCGUCACUAUAAGCGUCACCGGCAGGACCCCGCCCCUUUGAAGUCCCUGCUCAGUUUUCUUUUCACAAUCAUUCAGUUUGCUUCGGAGCUCCGCACAGUUCACUUCGAUUGAAUUGUAAUCAUAAUGUUUGUCUUUUGCUCGUUCGGUGAAUGCAGCGACCUGCUCUCUGGGCUCUGUACUGGCUCAAUGCUGCUGGUUCUGCAGCGCGUCGCGGGCUUUUGCGCUCCUUUCCCAACCGAUCAGUAAACGUCUGUACUCGCCUUUUCAUCUGCCCACUGUUGAUGAAACUGACCUCACGGUCUUAUCUCCAAAUUACAUAUUCCCGGUUUUCACUCACCCUCAGGAAUUCUCUGGAUUUCAGCCUAUUCUUAAUAACCUUACAAUGGCGGCAUUUCUGUCUGAUGCUUUCAUUAAUUUUUAUAAAACUGAGACGAUGGUUAGACGGGGUUCUUUUUUUUCAAUCUUUUUCCGAAAAAUAUGUAUUCCAUUUUUAUGUACUACGAUCAGAUUUUCUUUUUCUUCAGCUUUAUUGAUUGUCUACAUAUUAAUCUGUUGAUGUUUUGUAACAUUUUACAGCUGUAGAAGAUCAUGUACCAAUGAAAAGAUUCUAAAAAUGAAAAUGAUUUAUUCAGUAACCUACCAACCGUUGGGAGAACGACGCGGUCGCCGGGGAACGUACAUGCUCCUUGCAAUCAGCGGUCGGAGUUGAACCCGUGUUGGUUGUGUAGUAAAGAAGCUGUGAAAACCACCGAUUCUCACAGAUAGGGUUAAAGCGUCAGUACGUGGGCAGCGGCGGAAUUAUCCGUUUUGUCUUUGUCGACCUGUUCAGUGGAAAUUCAGUGUCAUCGCACCACUCCACACUGGAAUGCUCCACACCUUCAUUCACGUGUUUGAUUAAUCGUUUGUCUUUCUGGGAAUGUCUGUUUCUGCAUAUCGUAUCUGUGUGGGUGAAGUUUUCCUGAACCUCACAAGACCAGUCCGCUAAUUGCUCACCUGGGCUAAAGUCCUCAUUCCCGACAGUGUUUGCAGAACUUAAAAGACAGCCGACACCCGCCGACAGUGUGGUUAAGAACGGAUCCUUCUCUUUAUCAGUCGAUGCGUUGAGUUCAAAGGUCAGAAAGUAAUGUUGCUCCUUCAGAAAAAUUGAGUUUGGCCGCAACUGGAGAAAAUUCGGUCCCCUUGUGCUGACGAUUUUCUGAAUGGAGUGAAGAUAUUUUAAACAAAAUACUGAGGUGCAAGCGGACUUUGGAGUCCUUUUGCGGGAUUCCCAAAAGGUCAAUUUGCAGGCGGAUGAAGGCAAAUGUGAUGUUAGCAUUCAUGACAAGAUGUCCAGGAUAUGAAAGCAAGGAUGUAAAGUUGAAAACUUAUAACAUUUUUAAAAACUUUCUUGGUAUUUGUCAUUAUUAAUCAUUGAUCUUAUGAAGUGUGUGAGGGCUGGCAUUUGUUGUCAUAGGCUUGUGGAGGGCGAGAAUUAAAUUGAAUUGACUUUAUUACCCUGAUCCUUCACAUACUGUGGUGUAAAAAUCUUCACGUUA
Long non-coding RNA from Hypanus sabinus (Atlantic stingray), 2047 nucleotides. RefSeq lists it as uncharacterized. NCBI's taxonomy places the organism in Eukaryota, Metazoa, Chordata, Chondrichthyes, Myliobatiformes, Dasyatidae. The record is from RefSeq and is a predicted model, not a curated record. The transcript is spliced from 3 exons.